Molecule: ribosomal RNA, 1003 nt
Filed under: uncultured bacterium
Lineage: Bacteria
Description: bacterial SSU rRNA
Rfam family: Bacterial small subunit ribosomal RNA
Source: RNAcentral
CUAGAGAUUAGAGUUUGAUCCUGGCUCAGAACGAACGCUGGCGGCGCGCCUAAUACAUGCAAGUCGAGCGAGAAGACGUAGCAAUACGUUUGUAAAGCGGCGAACGGGUGAGGAAUACAUGGGUAACCUACCCUCGAGUGGGGAAUAACUAGCCGAAAGGUUAGCUAAUACCGCAUACGACUCUCGGUCUGCGGAUCGAGAGGGAAAGCGAUACCGUGGGUAUCGCGCUCUUGGAUGGGCUCAUGUCCUAUCAGCUUGUUGGUGAGGUAACGGCUCACCAAGGCUUCGACGGGUAGCUGGUCUGAGAGGACGAUCAGCCACACUGGCACUGCGACACGGGCCAGACUCCUACGGGAGGCAGCAGUAAGGAAUAUUGCGCAAUGGGCGACAGCCUGACGCAGCGACGCCGCGUGGGGGAUGAAGGUCUUCGGAUUGUAAACCCCUUUCGGCAGGGAAGAUGGAACGGGUAACCGUUCGGACGGUACCUGCAGAAGCAGCCACGGCUAACUUCGUGCCAGCAGCCGCGGUAAUACGAAGGUGGCAAGCGUUGUUCGGAUUUACUGGGCGUACAGGGAGCGUAGGCGGUUGGGUAAGCCCUCCGUGAAAUCUCCGGGCCUAACCCGGAAAGUGCGGAGGGGACUGCUCGGCUAGAGGAUGGGAGAGGAGCGCGGAAUUCCCGGUGUAGCGGUGAAAUGCGUAGAGAUCGGGAGGAAGGCCGGUGGCGAAGGCGGCGCUCUGGAACAUUUCUGACGCUGAGGCUCGAAAGCGUGGGGAGCAAACAGGAUUAGAUACCCUGGUAGUCCACGCCUUAAACGAUGGAUACUAAGUGUCGGCGGGUUACCGCCGGUGCCGCAGCUAACGCAGUAAGUAUCCCGCCUGGGAAGUACGGCCGCAAGGUUGAAACUCAAAGGAAUUUGACGGGGGCCCGCACAAGCGGUGGAGCAUGUGGUUUAAUUCGACGCAACGCGAAGAACCUUACCCAGGCUGGACAUGCAGGUAGUAG